Xyrauchen texanus (razorback sucker) is the source of this 1941-nucleotide long non-coding RNA. RefSeq lists it as uncharacterized. The record is from RefSeq and is a predicted model, not a curated record. The transcript is spliced from 3 exons. Lineage: Eukaryota; Metazoa; Chordata; Actinopteri; Cypriniformes; Catostomidae.
ACUAAUACAUUAAUUCUUCUAACUAUUUAAUCUUUCUCAUGCAUUAUACUUUCGUGUGUGGUUACAUAUUUAUCUAAACAUGAACAUUACAUCAUUCAGGAUUACAUUACUGUAAAUGUCUUUAUUAAUGAUACACUAAGUUUUGCAUUCUAUCUUAUUUCAUGCAUAUCUAUAUUUUUCUAUCCAAGCCUGCCCCCUAUUGGUUAUCUUGCUGUCUCUCAUAUAUGUCCAGCCAAGUCUGCUUUAUUUCUGCUGGGUGAUCCAGGCAAACUCUUACCUCAAACAUUCCUAUUGUACCUUCAAUUACAGUUGCUGGUACAAUCUCCCCUUCAUUAUUUUCCUUGAAUAUUACUUUACUUUCCCUGUAUACAUUUCUGACUCUGUUGAAUAUCUCUAAGCUUACAUUUUUCAAAAUUGUGACACCUUGUCCCACUGGCCUCUCUAGCGUUUCCCAAUAAUGGGCCACUUCAGUGCUGAGAUAAGGGAUUUGCACUUGUUUAGCUGACCUUCUUAUUUCUAUCCCAAAGGUGUCCAGCUGUUCCCCAUAUCCUGCCUGGCAAAGUCUUUCUAUGCCUGUUAAAAAGGUUCCAAGGUACAAGUUCUCCAUUGUGACUUCCAACCAAUCUACAAAAGGCCAUUCUUGUUCUAAUUCUGUUUUAGUUUGCCAUGUCGAUGACUGUGACAUGUCUGUGAAAUCUUGGAGAAGUGGCCAGCACUUUUCACAGAAAGCCAGGUCUUUGCAGAAUUCAAUCGCAUAUCUGGGGAAAAUCUGAGAUCUAUGGAGCGUUGGACACGUAUUCUGUAUGUUUGACUGAAAAUUUCGGAGAAAAGGAGGAAAUCAGGGAAGAACACUUGAUGAGAUUAUGCAUUAUGUUGACAAAUGUAUUUCUUUGUGAUUGUCAUCAUUAAAUCAUGAUUUGGCUAUGAUCGUUACCCUCACAUCUACCUGUAUCUACUUUUUCGUAGUCAUCUGAUGUUACACAUGUUUGCACUGCAGUGCUUCAGGGUCUUCCAAUCCUCUUGGGGAUGACCCAGAGUAUUUUUUCAGGAUGAGUUUCGUAAGUAUUUUUAUCACUGUUUAUACUUCUGAUUUGUGACAUUGGUGAUUUAAAUUAAAUUGAUGCAAUAAAAUAUACUGUAAAUUCAAUUCUGUGUUCUUAAAGGGUUAGUUCACCCAAAAAUGUAUUAUUUUUAAAUAAUUAAAAAAUUAUCCCAUAAUUUACUCACCCUCAAGCCGUCCUAGGUGUAUAUGACUUUCUUCUUUCAGCCAUACACAAUCACUAUCUCGUCCAAGCUUAAAAAUGGGAUUGAAUGGUACCUUCGAUUUUGAAGCCCAAAAAAAGCACAUCCAUCCAUUAAAAAAAUCAUCCAUACAGCUCUAGUGGGUUAAUAAAGGCCUUCUAAAGCGAAGUGAUGCAUUUUUUCCUAAUUGUAAAGGCUCUUUUUCUUUUUUUAUUAAAUAAAUACUUUUUGGGAGUUUGCACAGUGCCUGUUCUGCAAAUGCUCUAUACCUUGUUUAUGGUCCAGAUAUUAUGUUGUCAUGCAGCGGAGUGCUGCAAGAGGUCUAAGUCUUGAGAACAGAUUGUUUUUUUUAUUGUGUUGUUCUUAGAGUUUCAGCUGUUUAUUACGAUUUAUUUAUUUGUUUAUUUAAUUUCAAACUUGUUAAGUGCAUUAUUUGAACUAGAAAAAUUAUGUUCAGUUUACUUAAAGAGAAUGUGGAAACCGAUUGCACGUAGUAUUGCAACUUAAAAGUGAUACAGUAAACUCAUGUUGAGAUUAGUGGUAUUUCAGAUGUAAAGUGAACAAAUUGUAUUAAAUUUAAGUUAAUUGACUUCAUAGAGUAAUCUACUAAUAAAUAAUUUGUAAGGUUACUAAUUAAUUUAUAGAAAAUUAACAAAAAAAAUUAAGUUAACUAGAAAUGUACUAUUAAGUUUAAUAACA